Molecule: small nucleolar RNA, 135 nt
Organism: Eptesicus fuscus (big brown bat)
Lineage: Eukaryota; Metazoa; Chordata; Mammalia; Chiroptera; Vespertilionidae
Product: small nucleolar RNA SNORA51
Exons: 1
Source: RefSeq, a predicted model, not a curated record
UGCCUCCUGGUGCUUACUAUAGGCUGUGUUCUUAUACUGACUGUACAAAAAGAGGAAGCAGAAUAAACCCACCCCUUAUAUACCUCAGCCUAGGCCCUUUGUCUGGUCUGUAUUGUGACUGGAAGGAGGGCAUGG